GAAGUAUAGGAGGUCUGCCUGCCCAGUGACAGUUGUUUAACGGCCGCGGCAUCUUGACCGUGCUAAGGUAGCGAAAUCACUUGUCUUUUAAAUAAAGACCUGUAUGAAUGGUGAAACGAGGGCUUAACUGUCUCCUUUUUCAGGUCAGUGAAAUUGAUCUGCCCGUGCAGAAGCGGACAUAAAAAUACAAGACGAGAAGACCCUUUGGAGCUUUAGACAUGUAAUCAACUGUGUUAAAAAUUUUAACUACAAAAAUUAAACUAAACAAUACUGACUACUAGUCUUCGGUUGGGGCGACCACGGGGGAAAACCAAGCCCCCAUGUAGAAUGGGAAACAUCCUAAAACUAAGAAAUACAUUUCUAAGUCACAGAACUUCUGACUUAAAGAUCCGGCAUACGCCGAUUAGCGAACCAAGUUACCCCAGGGAUAACAGCGCAAUCCCCUCCAAGAGCCCGUAUCAACAAGGGGGUUUACGACCUCGAUGUUGGAUCAGGACAUCCUAAUGGUGCAGCCGCUAUUAAGGGUUCGUUUGUUCAACGAUUAAAGUCCUACGUGAUCUGAG
This 563-nucleotide ribosomal RNA is filed under the name Brycon pesu. RNAcentral's name for it is "partial 16S ribosomal RNA". It matches the Rfam family "Bacterial large subunit ribosomal RNA", at positions 1840 to 2609 of the family's 2925-position model. The record is from RNAcentral. Lineage: Eukaryota; Metazoa; Chordata; Actinopteri; Characiformes; Bryconidae.